GACGAACGCUGGCGGCGGGCUUAACACAUGCAAGUCGAACGGAAAGGCCCUGCUUUUGUGGGGUGCUCGAGUGGCGAACGGGUGAGUAACACGUGAGUAACCUGCCCUUGACUUUGGGAUAACUUCAGGAAACUGGGGCUAAUACCGGAUAGGAGCUCCUGCUGCAUGGUGGGGGUUGGAAAGUUUCGGCGGUUGGGGAUGGACUCGCGGCUUAUUAGCUUGUUGGUGGGGUAGUGGCUUACCAAGGCUUUGACGGGUAGCCGGCCUGAGAGGGUGACCGGCCACAUUGGGACUGAGAUACGGCCCAGACUCCUACGGGAGGCAGCAGUGGGGAAUAUUGCACAAUGGGCGGAAGCCUGAUGCAGCAACGCCGCGUGCGGGAUGACGGCCUUCGGGUUGUAAACCGCUUUCGCCUGUGACGAAGCGUGAGUGACGGUAAUGGGUAAAGAAGCACCGGCUAACUACGUG
Molecule: ribosomal RNA, 468 nt
Filed under: uncultured bacterium
Lineage: Bacteria
Description: partial 16S ribosomal RNA
Rfam family: Bacterial small subunit ribosomal RNA
Source: RNAcentral